RNAcentral lists this ribosomal RNA (748 nucleotides) under uncultured Fusobacterium sp. RNAcentral's name for it is "bacterial SSU rRNA". It matches the Rfam family "Bacterial small subunit ribosomal RNA", at positions 94 to 860 of the family's 1533-position model. Lineage: Bacteria; Fusobacteriati; Fusobacteriota; Fusobacteriia; Fusobacteriales; Fusobacteriaceae. The record is from RNAcentral.
GGUGGCGGACGGGUGAGUAACGCGUAAAGAACUUGCCUCACAGCUAGGGACAACAUUUGGAAACGAAUGCUAAUACCUAAUAUUAUGAUAAUAGGGCAUCCUAUGAUUAUGAAAGCUAUAAGCGCUGUGAGAGAGCUUUGCGUCCCAUUAGCUAGUUGGAGAGGUAACGGCUCACCAAGGCGAUGAUGGGUAGCCGGCCUGAGAGGGUGAUCGGCCACAAGGGGACUGAGACACGGCCCUUACUCCUACGGGAGGCAGCAGUGGGGAAUAUUGGACAAUGGACCAAGAGUCUGAUCCAGCAAUUCUGUGUGCACGAUGAAGUUUUUCGGAAUGUAAGUGCUUUCAGUUGGGAAGAAAGAAAUGACGGUACCAACAGAAGAAGUGACGGCUAAAUACGUGCCAGCAGCCGCGGUAAUACGUAUGUCACGAGCGUUAUCCGGAUUUGUUGGGCGUAAAGCGCGUCUAGGUGGUUAUAUAAGUCUGAUGUGAAAAUGCAGGGCUCAACUCUGUAUUGCGUUGGAAACUGUAUAACUAGAGUACUGGAGAGGUAAGCGGAACUACAAGUGUAGAGGUGAAAUUCGUAGAUAUUUGUAGGAAUGCCGAUGGGGAAGCCAGCUUACUGGACAGAUACUGACGCUGAAGCGCGAAAGCGUGGGUAGCAAACAGGAUUAGAUANCCUGGUAGUCCACGCCGCAAACGAUGAUUACUAGGUGUUGGGGGUCGAACCUCAGCGCCCAAGCAAACGCGA